AUGGAUACUCCAAGUGUGCCGCGCACCAAACACCAGCCAGCCGACUCGCAUCCCUACUUUGUCACCUUGGAUAUCGCCAGUCCCUCCUCCUUGUUCGGAAGCUCAUGCGGUGGCAUCGACCUGCGGUGGGUGCGCUCCGUGGCCGCCGGAGGCAUCUUCUCUUUCUUCCUCCUCGCGGCAUACCUGAUCGCAUUCCCCUCGACCACAAUAUUCCAUCACCCGCACCGAUCCUCUGCAACCCAGCGCCUGUCGCCGGCCAGUCCGCCGCGCUUCGCCUACCUCGUCUCUGAUCUGAUGGACGUGUUCUCACACCUGCCGCGCGACCUCAACUUCAUCGACCACACGAGCGACAUGGCGUCUGCGAGGGCGAUGGUUGACCCGGGGCUCUACAUGAACGAGACAGAGAAGCGGGAGUUGCGGCAGCUGCCCACCACAAUCUUCUCAGGUUCUGCCUGGACCGUGUUGUCACGGCCGUUCGUUGACUACUUGAUCCGGGGGUGGAAAAACCUCCCGCGCAACCUCCUCGUCUCCUCCCCGGAGGCCUACUUCCACACCAUGGCCUGCAACACCGAGGAGUUCCGGAACACCACCGACAACCCGGUGCUCGACCGAAUCGACGCAGAGCUCCUGUCACGGCAGCCCGGGAUGCUCGCCCCCGGCAGCUGGAGCAUCGGGGAUACCGGCGGCGAUGGCUCCUUCUGGAUCGUGAGGGACGCGACGCCCCUACGUCCUGGCCCUGGAGCUGCGCGGCUGCAGCGGCUCGUCACAUCGCUCCUGUCCGAUGACAACUUCCGGCCUAAACAGUGCAAGAUAGUCAAUCACAGCGCCUGA
This 831-nucleotide ribosomal RNA is filed under the name Triticum aestivum (bread wheat). RNAcentral describes it as "partial small subunit ribosomal RNA". The record is from RNAcentral. Lineage: Eukaryota; Viridiplantae; Streptophyta; Magnoliopsida; Poales; Poaceae.